AGACUGCUGACGAGUCCCAAAUAGGACGAAACGCGCGUCCUGGAU
Non-coding RNA from Schistosoma margrebowiei, 45 nucleotides. The record is from Rfam. Lineage: Eukaryota; Metazoa; Platyhelminthes; Trematoda; Strigeidida; Schistosomatidae.